UGGAAUCAGUUAAAAGCAUUUUCAUAUAAAGGACUUUCUUCUUUCUGUUAUAGUGCCAGCAUCUUUUUAAAUAGUCUGAUCACUGAUGUGAGUUGAUGUUAGGGCGAGUGCUUGGAGCAUGAGCUAGUUUAGCAGCGCAACUCAAUCUAGGCUAAAGGCUCUCAUUUCCUUAAAUAGAAAAUUCUUUGUCUUGAAGUUGUUGGACUAUUUUCUUAAACUUGUAAAAUUUUCUUAGCUGGAUGUCUAUUGUGUGCGGGAUAAGCUUUUCAGUCGACCAUCUGUAUGCUGUCAAUAAUGAUGAUGUAUGAGUGAACAAAAACUAUGCAUGCUCAACAAUUGGAGGAUGAAAUAUCCAGUUUUGUGGGAAACCCAGUGCAACUCUAAGUUGAUGCUUUUGACGACGAGGCCUUCAAUAAUGAGUUCAAUAUCCUGUUGUAAGGUAGUGAUAGGCAACAUAUAAAUGACAAUGCCUAUUAUGCUUUGCCCUUCAGCACAUGGUAGUUGAUAGGAAGGAUUCUGUGGAUUAGCUUAUAUGCCCUUUUGGCCUUUCAACUGGAUAAGACGAGGCCUUCAAUAAUGAGUUCAAUAUCCUGUUGUAAGGUAGUGAUAGGCAACAUAUAAAUGACAAUGCCUAUUAUGCUUUGCCCUUCAGCACAUGGUAGUUGAUAGGAAGGAUUCUGUGGAUUAGCUUAUAUGCCCUUUUGGCCUUUCAACUGGAUAAUGUAUUUCCUUACUUUUACAAGUAAUUUUCUCUUCUUGGAUGCAUUUAUCCAUUGUUCAGGUGACGUAUGUUAGUCACCUGUGGUUUAUGGAUUUUGUAGUAUCAAGGGCCUUUUUU
Molecule: long non-coding RNA, 838 nt
Filed under: Capsicum annuum
Lineage: Eukaryota; Viridiplantae; Streptophyta; Magnoliopsida; Solanales; Solanaceae
Description: long non-coding RNA (CANN_LNC017092)
Source: RNAcentral